GGAAGGUCUAACCUCCAGCCUUCAUUUACAGAGCCUUAGUGGUGAAUCACUUGCCUCUUAUCUCAGAGGCUGAACAAUAGCAGACAUUCAGACCGUUCAGCUGGGUUUAAGAGAGAUAAUAACAGGGACGCUAACCGUUUAUUUUGCUCUAAUAUGGCAACUGUGUCAGCACCUUUUACUCGUCUGAGCAAAGUAUGAGAAAACCAGCUAUUCUUUUGUGAAGCAGCAUGAAGUCACUCCAGGGUCUAUCACUUUAAUGAUUUUGCCUAUUACUGGCUUGAUUUUAAAGUCAAUAUAAAGGAUUCUCACAUUGUGACUUUAAUUGCAAAAAUUCCUUUUUACAAUGUUCUCUUGAAGUUCAGUAUUCAGGUUUAUUUGUGUGUACUGGCUGAAAGUGAAAGUUUAAAAUGGCUCCUUGCCUGCAGUCAUGUUCUUUUAGAUUCUUCAUCUCACCUCUUGAUCUCAGUGCAGCAGGUUUCACAGAGGCACGCAAGGGUCCCAAACUCCCUGGAGCAGGUAACGACGCUGCGUUUGCCGCUCUCACAGGUGCAUUGUUGAAGAUAGAGGCUACAGUGGAGCGCACAGAGACUGUAUGUCUGCUGGCAGAGAUACAGCGCUGCCUGUGGAGGAGCCGCUCCUGGCUGAAGAAAAGCAUGGAAAUGAGCAGGACUCUUCUGAGGGGUCUGUGAACGGUGUGGUUGUUACUCAUAGCUUUGCAUUACAAAUUGUAAUCUUGUGAUGUUGAUGUUUUGAAAUAUUUGGAAUGAAUCCUUGCGAAGGACACUUGCAUACUUACAUAUGCAUACUUUUUAAAAUGAGUACUUGUUAUAGAAAUGUUAUACUUAAUUGUGAACUGAAUGCAUUGUUUUCGGACAAUUACAGUAAUUGCCUGUUAAGUAUAAUCAAAAAAAAAAAAAAGAAAAAAAAAGAAGUUAUCUCUCCUCAAUAAAGUGCUUACAAAAAGAUAAUUGUGACUUUAU
This is a long non-coding RNA of Cyprinus carpio (common carp), 980 nucleotides long. Lineage: Eukaryota; Metazoa; Chordata; Actinopteri; Cypriniformes; Cyprinidae. The record is from Ensembl.